This 482-nucleotide ribosomal RNA is filed under the name uncultured bacterium. RNAcentral describes it as "partial 16S ribosomal RNA". It matches the Rfam family "Bacterial small subunit ribosomal RNA", at positions 30 to 523 of the family's 1533-position model. The record is from RNAcentral.
AGUGAACGUUGGCGGCGUGGAUUAGGCAUGCAAGUCGAGCGAGAACCGUAGCAAUACGGGGACAGCGGCGAAAGGGACAGUAAUGUGUAGGUACCUACCUCCGGGUUCGGGAUAGCUGCGGGAAACUGCAGGUAAUACCGAAUAACGUCUCCGGACCAAAGGUGUGAUUCCACCUGGAGAGGGGCCUGCAUCCUAUUAGCUAGUUGGGGAGGUAACGGCUCACCAAGGCGACGAUGGGUAGCGGGUGUGAGAGCACGACCCGCGUCAUUGGGACUGGGACACUGCCCAGACACCUACGGGUGGCUGCAGUCGAGGAUCUGCGGCAAUGGGCGCAAGCCUGACCGAGCGACGCCGCGUGCGGGAUGAAGGCCUUCGGGUUGUAAACCGCUGUCGUAGAGGAGGAAAUGCAGGGGGGUUCUCCCCUCUGUUUGACCUAUUCUAGGAGGAAGGACGGGCUAAGUUCGUGCCAGCCGCCGCAGUAA